CUCCAGCUUGCUGGAGUGGAUCAGUGGCGAACGGGUGAGUAACACGUGAGCAACCUGCCCCUGACUCUGGGAUAACAGUCGGAAACGAUUGCUAAUACCGGAUAUGCACCAUGAACGCAUGUUCUGUGGUGGGAAAGAUUUUUUGGUUGGGGAUGGGCUCGCGGCCUAUCAGCUUGUUGGUGAGGUAAUGGCUCACCAAGGCGUCGACGGGUAGCCGGCCUGAGAGGGUGACCGGCCACACUGGGACUGAGACACGGCCCAGACUCCUACGGGAGGCAGCAGUGGGGAAUAUUGCACAAUGGGCGAAAGCCUGAUGCAGCAACGCCGCGUGAGGGAUGACGGCCUUCGGGUUGUAAACCUCUUUUAGCAGGGAAGAAGCGAGAGUGACGGUACCUGCAGAAAAAGCGCCGGCUAACUACGUGCCAGCAGCCGCGGUAAUACGUAGGGCGCAAGCGUUAUCCGGAAUUAUUGGGCGUAAAGAGCUCGUAGGCGGUUUGUCGCGUCUGCUGUGAAAACUGGAGGCUCAACCUCCAGCCUGCAGUGGGUACGGGCAGACUAGAGUGCGGUAGGGGAGAUUGGAAUUCCUGGUGUAGCGGUGGAAUGCGCAGAUAUCAGGAGGAACACCGAUGGCGAAGGCAGAUCUCUGGGCCGUAACUGACGCUGAGGAGCGAAAGGGUGGGGAGCAAACAGGCUUAGAUACCCUGGUAGUCCACCCCGUAAACGUUGGGAACUAGUUGUGGGGGCCUUUCCACGGUCUCCGUGACGCAGCUAACGCAUUAAGUUCCCCGCCUGGGGAGUACGGCCGCAAGGCUAAAACUCAAAGGAAUUGACGGGGACCCGCACAAGCGGCGGAGCAUGCGGAUUAAUUCGAUGCAACGCGAAGAACCUUACC
RNAcentral lists this ribosomal RNA (892 nucleotides) under Microbacterium hydrocarbonoxydans. RNAcentral's name for it is "bacterial SSU rRNA". It matches the Rfam family "Bacterial small subunit ribosomal RNA", at positions 73 to 975 of the family's 1533-position model. The record is from RNAcentral. Lineage: Bacteria; Bacillati; Actinomycetota; Actinomycetes; Micrococcales; Microbacteriaceae.